CCUACGGGAGGCAGCAGUGGGGGAUAUUGCAAAAUGGGGGGAACCCUGAUGCAGCGACGCCGCGUGGGUGAAGGAGUGCUUCGGCAUGUAAAGCCCUAUCGGCAGGGAAGAAGCAAGACGGUACCUGACGAAUAAGCCACGGCUAACUACGUGCCAGCAGCCGCGGUAAUACGUAGGUGGCAAGCGUUGUCCGGAUUUACUGGGUGUAAAGGGCGUGUAGCCGGGUUGACAAGUCAGAUGUGAAAUCCUGCGGCUUAACCGCAGAACUGCAUUUGAAAAUGUUGAUCUUGAGUGCUGGAGAGGCAGAUGGAAUUCCUGGUGUAGCGGUGAAAUGCGUAGAUAUUAGGAGGAACACCAGUGGCGAAGGCGGUCUGCUGGACAGCAACUGACGGUGAGGCGCGAAAGCGUGGGGAGCAAACAGGAUUAGAUACCCCUGUAGUC
Molecule: ribosomal RNA, 441 nt
Filed under: uncultured bacterium
Lineage: Bacteria
Description: partial 16S ribosomal RNA
Rfam family: Bacterial small subunit ribosomal RNA
Source: RNAcentral